UACGUAGGUGGCAAGCGUUGUCCGGAAUUAUUGGGCGUAAAGCGCGCGCAGGCGGCCUCUUAAGUCUGAUGUGAAAGCCCCCGGCUCAACCGGGGAGGGCCAUUGGAAACUGGGAGGCUUGAGUAUAGGAGAGUAAGAGUGGAAUUCCACGUGUAGCGGUGGAAAUGCGUAGAGAUGUGGAGGAACACCAGUGGCGAAGGCGACUCUUUGGCCUAUAACUGACGCUGAGGCGCGAAAGCGUGGGGGAGCAAAACAGG
RNAcentral lists this ribosomal RNA (257 nucleotides) under uncultured bacterium. Its description in RNAcentral is "partial 16S ribosomal RNA". It matches the Rfam family "Bacterial small subunit ribosomal RNA", at positions 524 to 776 of the family's 1533-position model. The record is from RNAcentral.